RNAcentral lists this ribosomal RNA (427 nucleotides) under uncultured bacterium. RNAcentral's name for it is "partial 16S ribosomal RNA". It matches the Rfam family "Bacterial small subunit ribosomal RNA", at positions 355 to 774 of the family's 1533-position model. The record is from RNAcentral.
UGGGGAAUAUUGGACAAUGGGCGAAAGCCUGAUCCAGCCAUGCCGCGUGUGUGAAGAAGGUCUUCGGAUUGUAAAGCACUUUAAGUUGGGAGGAAGGGCAUUAACCUAAUACGUUAGUGUUUUGACGUUACCGACAGAAUAAGCACCGGCUAACUCUGUGCCAGCAGCCGCGGUAAUACAGAGGGGGCAAGCGUUAAUCGGAAUUACAGGGCGUAAAGCGCGCGUAGGUGGUUUGUUAAGUUGGAUGUGAAAUCCCCGGGCUCAACCUGGGAACUGCAUUCAAAACUGACUGACUAGAGUAUGGUAGAGGGUGGUGGAAUUUCCUGUGUAGCGGUGAAAUGCGUAGAUAUAGGAAGGAACACCAGUGGCGAAGGCGACCACCUGGACUAAUACUGACACUGAGGUGCGAAAGCGUGGGGAGCAAACA